Molecule: ribosomal RNA, 460 nt
Filed under: Mitius sp. b ZY-2021
Lineage: Eukaryota; Metazoa; Arthropoda; Insecta; Orthoptera; Gryllidae
Description: SSU rRNA
Rfam family: Eukaryotic small subunit ribosomal RNA
Source: RNAcentral
GGGCUAAUUUGACUCAACACGGGGAACCUCAUCAGGCCAGGACACCGGAAGGAUUGACAGAUUGAGAGCUCUUUCUUGAUUCGGUGGGUGGUGGUGCAUGGCCGUUCUUAGUUCGUGGAUUGAUUUGUCUGCUUAAUUGCGAUAACGAACGAGAUCCUACCCUACUAACUAGUCGACACCGGCAUCCCCUGUGCAGCCGGCGACCAACACUCUUCUUAGAGGGACAGGCGGCUUCCAGCCGCAGGAAGUGGGGCAAUAACAGGUCUGUAAUGCCCUUAGAUGUUCUGGGCAGCACGCGCGCUACACUGAAGGGAUCAACGUGUGUUUUCCUUGCUCGAGAGGGCCGGGUAACCCGUUGAAACUCCUUCGUGCUAGGGAUUGGGGCUUGCAAUUAUUCCCCACCAACGAGGAAUGCCUAGUAAGCGGGAAUCAUUACUUCCUGCUGAUUAAGUCUGACUUA